RNAcentral lists this ribosomal RNA (534 nucleotides) under Bifidobacterium adolescentis. RNAcentral describes it as "bacterial SSU rRNA". It matches the Rfam family "Bacterial small subunit ribosomal RNA", at positions 158 to 705 of the family's 1533-position model. The record is from RNAcentral. Lineage: Bacteria; Bacillati; Actinomycetota; Actinomycetes; Bifidobacteriales; Bifidobacteriaceae.
GGGUGGUAAUGCCGGAUGCUCCAGUUGGAUGCAUGUCCUUCUGGGAAAGAUUCAUCGGUAUGGGAUGGGGUCGCGUCCUAUCAGCUUGAUGGCGGGGUAACGGCCCACCAUGGCUUCGACGGGUAGCCGGCCUGAGAGGGCGACCGGCCACAUUGGGACUGAGAUACGGCCCAGACUCCUACGGGAGGCAGCAGUGGGGAAUAUUGCACAAUGGGCGCAAGCCUGAUGCAGCGACGCCGCGUGCGGGAUGACGGCCUUCGGGUUGUAAACCGCUUUUGACUGGGAGCAAGCCCUUCGGGGUGAGUGUACCUUUCGAAUAAGCACCGGCUAACUACGUGCCAGCAGCCGCGGUAAUACGUAGGGUGCAAGCGUUAUCCGGAAUUAUUGGGCGUAAAGGGCUCGUAGGCGGUUCGUCGCGUCCGGUGUGAAAGUCCAUCGCUUAACGGUGGAUCCGCGCCGGGUACGGGCGGGCUUGAGUGCGGUAGGGGAGACUGGAAUUCCCGGUGUAACGGUGGAAUGUGUAGAUAUCGAACA